UACGGAGGAUGCAAGCGUUAUCCGGAAUGAUUGGGCGUAAAGCGUCCGCAGGUGGCUGUGUAAGUCUGCUGUUAAAGAGUCUAGCUCAACUAGAUAAAAGCAGUGGAAACUACACGGCUAGAGUACGUUCGGGGCAGAGGGAAUUCCUGGUGUAGCGGUGAAAUGCGUAGAGAUCAGGAAGAACACCAGUGGCGAAGGCGCUCUGCUAGGCCGUAACUGACACUGAGGGACGAAAGCUAGGGGAGCGAACGGG
RNAcentral lists this ribosomal RNA (253 nucleotides) under uncultured bacterium. Its description in RNAcentral is "partial 16S ribosomal RNA". It matches the Rfam family "Bacterial small subunit ribosomal RNA", at positions 524 to 776 of the family's 1533-position model. The record is from RNAcentral.